GACGAACGCUGGCGGCGUGCUUAACACAUGCAAGUCGAACGGAAAGGCCCUGAUUGCGUGGGGUGAUCGGGUGGCGAUCGGGGGCGUAAGACGUGUAUAACCUAAUCUAGAUUUUGGGAUAAGUUCAGGAAACUGGGGCUACUAUCGGAUAGGAGCUCCCGUUGCGUGGUGGGGGUUGGAUAGUUUCGGCGGUUGGGGAUGGAUUCGCGGGUUAUCGGCUUGCUGGUGGGGUAGUGGCUUACCAAGGCUUUGACGGAUAGGCGGCCUGAGAGGUUGGACGGCGACAUGGGUACUAAGGUACGGCCCAGACGCCUACGGGAGGCAGCAGUGGGGAAUAUGACACAGUGGGAGGGAGCCUGAGGCGGCGACGCCGCGUGCGGGAUGACGUCCUUCGGGUUGUAAACCGCUUUCGCCUGUGACGAAGCGUUAGUGACGGUAAUGGGUGAAGAAGCACCGGCUAACUACGUG
Molecule: ribosomal RNA, 468 nt
Filed under: uncultured bacterium
Lineage: Bacteria
Description: partial 16S ribosomal RNA
Rfam family: Bacterial small subunit ribosomal RNA
Source: RNAcentral